RNAcentral lists this ribosomal RNA (465 nucleotides) under Vreelandella stevensii. RNAcentral describes it as "partial 16S ribosomal RNA". It matches the Rfam family "Bacterial small subunit ribosomal RNA", at positions 338 to 795 of the family's 1533-position model. The record is from RNAcentral. Lineage: Bacteria; Pseudomonadati; Pseudomonadota; Gammaproteobacteria; Oceanospirillales; Halomonadaceae.
CCUACGGGAGGCAGCAGUGGGGAAUAUUGGACAAUGGGGGGAACCCUGAUCCAGCCAUGCCGCGUGUGUGAAGAAGGCCCUCGGGUUGUAAAGCACUUUCAGUGAGGAAGAACGCCUGGUGGUUAAUACCCAUCAGGAAAGACAUCACUCACAGAAGAAGCACCGGCUAACUCCGUGCCAGCAGCCGCGGUAAUACGGAGGGUGCGAGCGUUAAUCGGAAUUACUGGGCGUAAAGCGCGCGUAGGUGGCUUGAUAAGCCGGUUGUGAAAGCCCCGGGCUCAACCUGGGAACGGCAUCCGGAACUGUCAAGCUAGAGUGCAGGAGAGGAAGGUAGAAUUCCCUGUGUAGCGGUGAAAUGCGUAGAGAUCGGGAGGAAUACCAGUGGCGAAGGCGGCCUUCUGGACUGACACUGACACUGAGGUGCGAAAGCGUGGGUAGCAAACAGGAUUAGAUACCCUGGUAGUC